This 894-nucleotide long non-coding RNA is filed under the name Helianthus annuus (common sunflower). Lineage: Eukaryota; Viridiplantae; Streptophyta; Magnoliopsida; Asterales; Asteraceae. The record is from RNAcentral.
GGAAAUUGAGAAUUGAGCGGCAAUAUCUUUCUCCUCUUUUUCUUUCACGCUAAUAGUUUUCUUCCCCUUUCAGCCGUUCUCUUUUAGAGUACGCUUUCUUCUUAAAACCCUAAUCGUGUUCCUUCAUCAUCUACGAUCCUAAUCUCUGUCGUUCUUAUUCAUAAAACAAUCAGGCUCAGUUACAUGGUGGUGAGACGUGCAUAUGGUGGUGGUUAUGAUGAAGAAGGUUGAUACAGUGGAAGCCUUAAUGGUGAUUACAGAGGUGGUGGUUUUUAAUCAUCAUAUUUUGAUUAAUAGGAUGCGGAUUGUUUAGGUUUAGCAGUUGAAAUCAUCAGUAGUUUGAAUCAAGAAGCGAACAUCAACAAUCAUCAUCAUGUAAGUGAAGAUUCGAUUGAAUCUGUAUUGUUGUUGAUUGUUUGCUUUAAAUUAUUUUCAGUGGUGUUUCCUGUUACGAUGAGAAAGGUUGUCUUGGUGUGGUUAUGUUAUUUUUGGUUAUUGAUGUUGAGAUCAAGGUUUUCUAUAUGCAAUGGAAGAGCAAUACAAGCCAAUGAAAGAAUUUGGUGCCGGGAAUUUUAUAGUAGCAAGCCUGUUUAUAUAUAAGAAGAUGAAAGAACUGUUUGCUAUCAAAUACAAUGAAUGAGGGAAACAGGGUUUUGACAAUAACAUCACAGCGGCACCGCGGCAACCUGUCUCCGCUCGAGUUAGUUAAUUUUUAUGAAUUUGUUUGGGAUACAUUCGAUACGGUUGAUGAAUUGAUUGAUCCACUUUAGACUCUAAAGACGGGAAAUUGAAAUAUGGAUAUAACAAGAGAAAAAGGAGUUUGGGAGAGGUGAAGGGAGUACGCUGGUGAGGAAUUGGUAUUAAACUUGACUUUUUAAUACAAUAAUAACAUUU